GACGAACGCUGGCGGCAUGCCUAAUACAUGCAAGUCGAGCGAACAGAUGAAGUGCUUGCACUUCUGACGUUAGCGGCGAACGGGUGAGUAACACGUAAGGAAUCUACCUAUAAGCGGGGGAUAACAUUCGGAAACGGGUGCUAAUACCGCAUAAUAUCUUCUUCCGCAUGGAAGAAGAUUGAAAGACGGCUCUGCUGUCACUUAUAGAUGACCUUGCGGUGGAUUAGUUAGUUGGUGGGGUAACGGCCUACCAAGACGAUGAUGCAUAGCCGACCUGAGAGGGUGAUCGGCCACAUUGGGACUGAGACACGGCCCAAACUCCUACGGGAGGCAGCAGUAGGGAAUCUUCCGCAAUGGGCGAAAGCCUGACGGAGCAAUGCCGCGUGAGUGAAGAAGGCCUUCGGGUCGUAAAACUCUGUUAUAAGAGAAGAACAAAUUGUAGAGCAACUGCUACAGUCUUGACGGUAUCUUAUCAGAAAGCCACGGCUAACUACGUGCCAGCCGCCGCGGUAA
RNAcentral lists this ribosomal RNA (513 nucleotides) under uncultured bacterium. RNAcentral describes it as "partial 16S ribosomal RNA". It matches the Rfam family "Bacterial small subunit ribosomal RNA", at positions 28 to 523 of the family's 1533-position model. The record is from RNAcentral.